RNAcentral lists this ribosomal RNA (467 nucleotides) under uncultured bacterium. Its description in RNAcentral is "partial 16S ribosomal RNA". It matches the Rfam family "Bacterial small subunit ribosomal RNA", at positions 28 to 506 of the family's 1533-position model. The record is from RNAcentral.
GACGAACGCUGGCGGCGUGCUUAACACAUGCAAGUCGAACGGAAAGGCCCUGCUUUUGUGGGGUGCUCGAGUGGCGAACGGGUGAGUAACACGUGAGUAACCUGCCCUUGACUUUGGGAUAACUUCAGGAAACUGGGGCUAAUACCGGAUAGGAGCUCCUGCUGCAUGGUGGGGGUUGGAAAGUUUCGGCGGUUGGGGAUGGACUCGCGGCUUAUCAGCUUGUUGGUGGGGUAGUGGCUUACCAAGGCUUUGACGGGUAGCCGGCCUGAGAGGGUGACCGGCCAAAUGGGGUCUGGGAUACGGCCCAGACCCGUAGGGGGGGGAGGAGGGGGGAAUUUUGAAAAAGGGGGGGAAGCCUGAUGCAGAAACGCCGGGGGGGGGAAGACGGCUUUGGGGUUGUAAACCGCUUUCGCCUGUGACGAAGGGUGGGUGGCGGUAAUGGGUAAAGAAGCACCGGCUAACUACGU